GACCGGCGCACGGGUGCGUAACGCGUAUACAAUCUACCUUUUACUAAGGGAUAGCCCAUGGAAACGUGGAUUAAUACCUUAUAGUAUGCAGAUCUCGCAUGAGCAUCUGUAUUAAAGUUUACGGUAAAAGAUGAGUAUGCGUCCUAUUAGCUAUUAUGUAGGGUAACGGCCUACAUAGGCUAUGAUAGGUAGGGGUUCUGAGAGGGAAGCCCCCCACACUGGUACUGAGACACGGACCAGACUCCUACGGGAGGCAGCAGUGAGGAAUAUUGGACAAUGGGAGCAAUCCUGAUCCAGCCAUGCCGCGUGCAGGAAGACGGUCCUGUGGAUUGUAAACUGCUUUUAUACAGGAAGAAAAAGACCGACGUGUCGGUUGUUGACGGUACUGUAUGAAUAAGGAUCGGCUAACUCCGUGCCAGCAGCCGCGGUAAUACGGAGGAUCCGAGCGUUAUCCGGAAUUAUUGGGUUUAAAGGGUCCGUAGGCGGGAUAAUAAGUCAGUGGUGAAAGUUUGUGGCUCAACCAUAAAAUUGCCAUUGAUACUGUUAUUCUUGAGUUAUUGUGAAGUGGUUAGAAUGUGUAGUGUAGCGGUGAAAUGCAUAGAUAUUACACAGAAUACCAAUUGCGAAGGCAGAUCACUAACAAUGAACUGACGCUGAUGGACGAAAGCGUAGGUAGCGAACAGGAUUAGAUACCCUGGUAGUCUACGCAGUAAACGAUGGUUACUAGCUGUUCGGUCUAAUUGAGGGCUGAGUGGUUAAGCGAAAGUGAUAAGUAACCCACCUGGGGAGUACGUUCGCAAGAAUGAAACUCAAAGGAAUUGACGGGGGCCCGCACAAGCGGUGGAGCAUGUGGUUUAAUUCGAUGAUACGCGAGGAACCUUACCAGGGCUUAAAUGCAGUUUGACAGGUCUAGAAAUAGAUUUUUCUUCGGACAAAUUGCAAGGUGCUGCAUGGUUGUCGUCAGCUCGUGCCGUGAGGUGUCAGGUUAAGUCCUAUAACGAGCGCAACCCGUAUGGUUAGUUGCUAGCAGGUCAUGCUGAGAACUCUAGCCAGACUGCCGGUGUAAACCGCGAGGAAGGUGGGGAUGAUGUCAAAUCAUCACGUCC
RNAcentral lists this ribosomal RNA (1106 nucleotides) under uncultured organism. RNAcentral's name for it is "bacterial SSU rRNA". It matches the Rfam family "Bacterial small subunit ribosomal RNA", at positions 93 to 1200 of the family's 1533-position model. The record is from RNAcentral.